This is a long non-coding RNA of Indicator indicator, 899 nucleotides long. RefSeq lists it as uncharacterized. The transcript is spliced from 3 exons. The record is from RefSeq and is a predicted model, not a curated record. Lineage: Eukaryota; Metazoa; Chordata; Aves; Piciformes; Indicatoridae.
UCAAAAUGGUCCCUUAUCACUUCACACAGCUAAUAGAAGCUUACCUUAAGAAGCUUAUCUUAUAGUCGUUAUUUCUUUCAAGCCUUUACUUCUUUUAAACUCUGUAAUGCCUUAGGGAUCACAGCUACUCACACCUUUUUUGCUGCUUGAAGGAAAACCACAGUACUCACUGAAAAGUCAUACAUACACCUGUAAGAAGUAUCAUGGCUCUAGAAAAUCAUGAUUGCUGUGACAAGAUGAAUGAGUGAGCAACUGCCAUUUCUCCCAGUGCAAGGGGAUGGAGACACUCAACUGUGGACGAUUUCAAGGUUUUUGGGUUCUCUCCCAUCCUGCGUUCACCUAGAAACACUUGGAAGCCUUUUUGUGACUUCACCUCUUUGCCAGUGUGGUUCAAUUUCGUACAUGCCACCUUGGGUUUUUUCAACCUAACCUUUUUCAUCUGAUGCUUAUUCCCUAACCAACUGAUAUGAUCCAGCAUUAGAAUUAAAAAUAGUUGUUAGUGGAGCUGACCAAAGAAACAAAACACUGGAAUGCUUUGGAAAGUGAUGGCUCAUGAGAACAGAAAACUUUGAUGGACACGUGAGGAUGUGCUACUUCCAAAUAAAAUUAACUGGGUAAGAAGGCAAAGCAAUGCUUGCAACCCUACUGGAAUGAAGCAUGUCUACUUUUCACUUCAGUGCAGUUCAGCUUAUUGCAGUCCUCUCUUACGGGGCAAAACACUAUUACAAUGAAACGGAAAACCGUGCAAAAUAAGACAGACUAUAAAUCUAUACAAAUCUCUACAAGCUAAUUUCAACCAGUUGCUUAGUUGAAGGCUUUGUUCCUUCUGGAAAUCUGCUGACUGAACUGCAUAUACUUAUUGUGAAACAGAAUCAAUUAAACUUGACAUUAAAAGAUGA